AUUGAACGCUGGCGGCAUGCCUUACACAUGCAAGUCGAACGGUAACGGGCCUUCGGGUGCCGACGAGUGGCGAACGGGUGAGUAAUGUAUCGGAACGUACCAUUGAGUGGGGGAUAACGUAGCGAAAGUUACGCUAAUACCGCAUAUUCUCUCCGGAGGAAAGCAGGGGACCGCAAGGCCUUGCGCUCUUUGAGCGGCCGAUAUCAGAUUAGCUAGUUGGGGGGGUAAAAGCUCACCAAGGCGACGAUCUGUAGCGGGUCUGAGAGGAUGAUCCGCCACACUGGAACUGCGACACGGUCCAGACUCCUACGGGAGGCAGCAGUGGGGAAUUGUGGACAAUGGGGGCAACCCUGAUCCGGCCAUGCCGCGUGAGUGAAGAAGGCCUUCGGGUUGUAAAGCUCUUUCAGCCGGGAAGAAAUCGCAUGGGCUAAUACCCCGUGCGGAUGACGGUACCGGAAUAAGAAGCACCGGCUAACUACGUGCCAGCCGCCGCGGUAA
RNAcentral lists this ribosomal RNA (498 nucleotides) under uncultured bacterium. RNAcentral describes it as "partial 16S ribosomal RNA". It matches the Rfam family "Bacterial small subunit ribosomal RNA", at positions 30 to 523 of the family's 1533-position model. The record is from RNAcentral.